RNAcentral lists this ribosomal RNA (499 nucleotides) under uncultured Glomus. RNAcentral's name for it is "SSU rRNA". It matches the Rfam family "Eukaryotic small subunit ribosomal RNA", at positions 591 to 1092 of the family's 1831-position model. The record is from RNAcentral. Lineage: Eukaryota; Fungi; Glomeromycota; Glomeromycetes; Glomerales; Glomeraceae.
CCAAUAGCGUAUAUUAAAGUUGUUGCAGUUAAAAAGCUCGUAGUUGAAUUUCGGGGUUAGUAGGUUGGUCAUGCCUCUGGUAUGUACUGGUCUCACUGAUUCCUCCUUCUGACGAACCACGAUGUCAUUAAUUUGGUGUCAUGGGGAAUCAGGACUGUUACUUUGAAAAAAUUAGAGUGUUUAAAGCAGGCUCACGCUUGAAUACAUUAGCAUGGAAUAACGAAAUAGGACUUUUGAUUCUAUUUUGUUGGUUUCUAGGAUCGACGUAAUGAUUAAUAGGGAUAGUUGGGGGCAUUAGUAUUCAAUUGUCAGAGGUGAAAUUCUUGGAUUUAUUGAAGACUAACUACUGCGAAAGCAUUUGCCAAGGAUGUUUUCAUUAAUCAAGAACGAAAGUUAGGGGAUCGAAGACGAUCAGAUACCGUCGUAGUCUUAACCAUAAACUAUGCCGACUAGGGAUCGGAUGAUGUUAAUUUUUUAAUGACUCAUUCGGCGCCUUACG